Cryptotermes secundus is the source of this 1007-nucleotide long non-coding RNA. RefSeq lists it as uncharacterized. The record is from RefSeq and is a predicted model, not a curated record. The transcript is spliced from 2 exons. Lineage: Eukaryota; Metazoa; Arthropoda; Insecta; Blattodea; Kalotermitidae.
UAUUUAUUCCCCACUGAACAAUGCGCUUUGCUGGGUGGCUUGUGGCAAAAUACGCAUAUUCAGUGGCCUUAGUACACAAUCGUAGAAUAAAUACAUUUAUGAAUACAAAGUAGCCUUUAUAUUCCCCCAUGUAUAUAAAAGUAGUUAUGUGAAUAAAUUCUCACCUGAAUUAUUCAAAGCGUGUUUAAACUAUGAAAAUUUUUGCAAAGAGGUUUGCAUACAUGCACUUCAGAACUCGUUUAUUUAAUAUUACGUGCAAAUACUUCAAUUGCACCUCUCAUUUUUCGCGGAGUUACAAAUCUUUAUUUAAUUUUGUUUCAGAAUUUCAACAAGUACGUGUACGCCAGGAAGUAAGAGGAUAUAAAACAAGAACAACGAGCACUUCCUGUAACUUUUGCAUAUUUUUUUAAAAAUAAUUCGAACACUGUCCAGAAAUCAAAUCAUAAAAAUUUAAUGUGGUUAUUGGAAACAUAAUUUAAGGAUAACACAUAUUUCUAUGUAAACAUUAAAGUAAACCAUGUGGUUCAGAAAUGUUAUGCAUAUUUAAGAUCAAUUAAGCUAUCUUUAAUUUGUGAGAAAAUAUCUAGUCAAUAUUUUUAGUUAUGUACACUCCCACAUUUGCAAAUUUAAAUCUAUCAAAAAUAUUUUGUGAUCCAUGGACAUCUGCGUAAGCAUAAGACAUGUGUUAUAUUAAUAUUCUCUUCAGACAAUAUUGUGUUUCUAUCAGAGCAAUUUAGUGUUGUUAGUGGUAAAUCAAAUUCUAAGCCAUGUAAAUUAAGUAUUUGGGUAACAUGUUACUGGCAAAUAGAUCUUGUGUUCAAGCAAGAACAGUGGACUCAUACAGAAACGAGUAUUUCAGAUUUUAUUACCAGGAGAGACUAACAUUUGUACUUCAGUGCACUAAGCUGAAUUUCUAACACAAAUGCAAGUUAUGUGUAUGUGGCCUAAUUCAAAGUAAUCAUAUUGUUUAAAAUACAUAGAUCGGUCAAAAACCGUGAAACACUUGA